This 986-nucleotide ribosomal RNA is filed under the name uncultured delta proteobacterium. RNAcentral describes it as "bacterial SSU rRNA". It matches the Rfam family "Bacterial small subunit ribosomal RNA", at positions 49 to 1055 of the family's 1533-position model. Lineage: Bacteria; Deltaproteobacteria. The record is from RNAcentral.
GAGCACAUGCAAGUCGAGCGAGAAAGCGGCUUCGGUCGCGAGUAAAGCGGCGGACGGGUGAGUACAACGUGGGUAAUCUACCCGAAGGUUCGGGACAACUCCGAGAAAUCGGGGCUAAUACCGGAUAAGACCACGGUAUCCGCGGAUACAGAGGUAAAAGAUUCAUCGCCUUCGGAUGAGUCCACGCCCCAUCAGGUAGUUGGUAAGGUAAAGGCUUACCAAGCCUAAGACGGGUAGCCGGCCUUAGCAGGUGAACGGCCACAUGGGAACUGAGACACGGUCCUGACUCCUACGGGAGGCAGCAGUGGGGAAUAUUGGGCAAUGGGCGAAAGCCUGACCCAGCGAUGCCGCGUGAGGGAUGAAGGCCUUCGGGUUGUAAACCUCUGUCAGGAGGGACGAUGGGACUUCGGUCUUGACUGUACCUCCAGAGGAAGCCCCGGCUAACUCCGUGCCAGCAGCCGCGGUAAUACGGAGGGGGCAAGCGUUGCUCGGAAUUACUGGGCGUAAAGGGUCCGCAGGCUGUCGGACAAGUUGGGUGUGAAAGCUCAGGGCUUAACCCUGGAAUUGCAUCCAAAACUGUCUGACUAGAGUCCGAGAGAGGUUGGCGGAAUUCCCGGUGUAGCGGUGAAAUGCAUAGAUAUCGGGAGGAACACCAGAGGCGAAGGCGGCCAACUGGCUCGGCACUGACGCUCAGGGACGAAAGCGUGGGUAGCAAACCGGAUUAGAUACCCGGGUAGUCCACGCCCUAAACGAUGGAUGCUAGGUAGGGGGAAUUUAUUUCUCCCUGCCGUAGUUAACGCAUUAAGCAUCCCGCCUGGGGAGUACGGUCGCAAGGCUGAAACUCAAAGGAAUUGGCGGGGGCCCGCACAAGGUUGGGAGCACGUGGUUUAAUUCGAUGCUAAGCGAAAAACCUUACCAAGGCUUGACAUGUUAACUUAAGCCUGCACGAAACUGUUGGGUGGAUCAGGGCUUGCCCUGACCAGUUU